Monomorium pharaonis (pharaoh ant) is the source of this 742-nucleotide long non-coding RNA. RefSeq lists it as uncharacterized. The record is from RefSeq and is a predicted model, not a curated record. NCBI's taxonomy places the organism in Eukaryota, Metazoa, Arthropoda, Insecta, Hymenoptera, Formicidae. The transcript is spliced from 3 exons.
AUGUACUUUCUGAUAUCACGGCGCUGAUUACGCGUUUUCUGAAAGUGAUUGUAUACGAUUCAUGGUGGCCUGGUUAUUGUUUGUGUUUUACGGAAGUUGUGGUUUUCAGCGAUAAAAAGGUGGAUUGUUUUUAAAAACAUAUAUUGGGUGUUUUUUCUUUGUGUCGUGCAGCAAUAACAUAGUCUAUACAGUUGAUAGUCAUAAAUCAAUUCAAAAAGUUAUUCAAACGUAAGUAACAAAUUAUAUUAAUAGAUUGGAUAAUUUUUAUAAAUUUGGAAUAUAACUUACACAACAAAUAUAUUUGAGAUAUUAUCAAAUAUCUUUGUACUUAUAAUUAAAUAAAUUUUAAAUUGUUGUUGACUUAUGGUAUAUUUGAUUCGUAAAUAGAUGUUAUGUUAAGUUGUGUCCUGAUUUGUAUAGUGCUGUAAGUAACUUAUUGUUGGAUAAAAAUCUUGUUUAGUGAGUCCAUAAGAUUUAUGCUUUGUCCUUAUUUUGCAUUACAUUGAUUCCUUUAUUUCUUUUAUCUUCUACCUUAGCUUAUUGUAAGAUAUUUAUAAUCAUUACUUGAAAUCAUAUAUUGAAAAAAGAUAUCUCUCUGGAGCAUUUGCUUAUUGAUUUGUAACUAAUAUCUCUGAUCUAUUUUGUUGUGUUUGUAAAUCAGAUCUUUGUAUUUACAAUUUUUAAUGAUUUUAUAUUAUAUGUAUUGUCUGUAAAAUAAUACUGGAACAUUUGUUUUAAGUUU